RNAcentral lists this ribosomal RNA (2889 nucleotides) under Bacteroides ovatus. Its description in RNAcentral is "23S ribosomal RNA". It matches the Rfam family "Bacterial large subunit ribosomal RNA". Lineage: Bacteria; Pseudomonadati; Bacteroidota; Bacteroidia; Bacteroidales; Bacteroidaceae. The record is from RNAcentral.
AAAGAAAGUAAGCAAGGGCGCAUGGCGGAUGCCUUGGCUCUCGGAGGCGAUGAAGGACGUGAUAAGCUGCGAUAAGCUUCGGGCAGGUGCAAAUAACCUUUGAUCCGAAGAUUUCCGAAUGGGACAACCCGUCAUUCUGAAGGAAUGACAUCUUGCAUAGCAAGAGGCUAACGCAGGGAACUGAAACAUCUUAGUACCUGUAGGAAAAGAAAAUAAUAAUGAUUCCCCUAGUAGUGGCGAGCGAACGGGGAUUAGCCCAAACCAAUGUUGUUACGGCAAUAUUGGGGUUGUAGGACCACGCUCUCGCAAGAAGUUUAGUGAGAAGAACCCUUUGGAAAAUGGGACCAUAGACGGUGAUAGUCCGGUAUUCGAAGCUAAAUGAAGCGUAGUGGUAUCCUGAGUAGCGCGGGACACGAGGAAUCUUGCGUGAAUCUGCCGGGACCAUCCGGUAAGGCUAAAUACUCCCGAGAGACCGAUAGCGAACCAGUACUGUGAAGGAAAGGUGAAAAGCACUUCGAAUAGAAGAGUGAAAUAGUCCCUGAAACCGUGCGCCUACAAGCGGUCGGAGCUGCUUCAGCAGUGACGGCGUGCCUUUUGCAUAAUGAACCUACGAGUUACUUUUUCCGGCAAGGUUAAGGAUCUUGAGAUCCGCAGCCGAAGCGAAAGCGAGUCUUAAUAGGGCGAUUAGUCGGAAGGAGUAGACGCGAAACCAAGUGAUCUACCCUUGGUCAGGUUGAAGGUUAGGUAACACUAACUGGAGGACCGAACCGAUAAGCGUUGAAAAGCUUCCGGAUGAACUGAGGGUGGGGGUGAAAGGCUAAUCAAACUUGGAGAUAGCUCGUACUCCCCGAAAUGCAUUUAGGUGCAGCCUUGGGAAUUACUACUGUGAGGUAGAGCGACUGAUAAGAUGCGAGGGCUUCACCGCCUAUCAAGUCUUGAUAAACUCCGAAUGCGCAGUAGUUCGAUCCCAGGAGUGAGGGCAUGGGUGCUAAGGUCCAUGUCCUAAAGGAGAAGAAUCCAGACCAUCAGCUAAGGUCCCGAAAUAAUUGCUAAGUUGAACUAACGAAGUCAGAUUGCUAAGACAGCUAGGAUGUUGGCUUGGAAGCAGCCAUUCAUUUAAAGAGUGCGUAACAGCUCACUAGUCGAGGAGUUUGGCGUGGAUAAUAAUCGGGCAUUAAGCAAUUUACCGAAGCUAUGGGAUGUUAACUAAACACUAACAUCGGUAGGGGAGCAUUCCACUCUGCGUCGAAGGUGAAGCGUGAGCUUUGCUGGAGCGUGUGGAAAAGCAAAUGUAGGUAUAAGUAACGAUAAAGGGGGUGAGAAACCCCCUCGCCGAAAGACUAAGGUUUCCUGAUCAACGCUAAUCGGAUCAGGGUUAGUCGGGUCCUAAGGCUCAGCCGAACGGUGAGGCCGAUGGCAGAACAGGUUAAUAUUCCUGUACUACCUUAAGGAGUGACGUGGAGACGGAGGAGUGACAACGCCGCGGACUGACGGAAUAGUCCGUUGAAGGGUGUAGAUGUUGAUUAUCCCAGGCAAAUCCGGGAUAAGAGUCGAACCUGAUAGUAUACCAAAUUCUUCGGAAUAAGGUAAUAGUGCGUGUAAGCAUACUCUCAAGAAAAUCCGCUAAACUUAAUCUUUAAGGUACCCGUACCGCAAACGGACACACGUAGUCGGGUUGAAUAUACUAAGGCGCUUGAGUGAUUCACGGUUAAGGAACUAGGCAAAUUGACCCUGUAACUUCGGGAUAAAGGGUCCCAACGAGAGUUGGGCGCAGAGAAUAGGUCCAGGCAACUGUUUAACAAAAACACAGGGCUGUGCUAAAUUGAAAGAUUACGUAUACAGCCUGACACCUGCCCGGUGCUGGAAGGUUAAGAGGAGAUGUCAUCGCAAGAGAAGCAUUGAAUUGAAGCCCCAGUAAACGGCGGCCGUAACUAUAACGGUCCUAAGGUAGCGAAAUUCCUUGUCGGGUAAGUUCCGACCUGCACGAAUGGUGUAAUGAUCUGGACACUGUCUCAACCGUGAGCUCAGUGAAAUUGUAGUAUCGGUGAAGAUGCCGAUUACCCGCGAUGGGACGAAAAGACCCCGUGAACCUUUACUAUAGCUUAACAUUGAAUUUGGGUAAUUGAUGUGUAGGAUAGGCCGGAGACUUUGAAGCAGGUACGCCAGUAUUUGUGGAGUCGCUGUUGAAAUACGGCCCUUUGAUUAUUUGAGUUCUAACUCGUAGAUACGAGGACACUGUUUGGUGGGUAGUUUGACUGGGGUGGUCGCCUCCAAAAGUGUAACGGAGGCUUCUAAAGGUGCCCUCAGGACGAUUGGUAACCGUCCGUAGAGUGUAAUGGCAUAAGGGCGCUUGACUGGGAGACAGACAAGUCGAUCAGGUAGGAAACUAGAGCAUAGUGAUCCGGUGUUUCCGUAUGGAAGGGACAUCGCUCAAAGGAUAAAAGGUACUCCGGGGAUAACAGGCUGAUCCCUCCCAAGAGCUCAUAUCGACGGAGGGGUUUGGCACCUCGAUGUCGGCUCGUCACAUCCUGGGGCUGGAGAAGGUCCCAAGGGUUGGGCUGUUCGCCCAUUAAAGUGGCACGCGAGCUGGGUUCAGAACGUCGUGAGACAGUUCGGUCUCUAUCUAUCGUGGGCGUAUGAAAUUUGCGUGGCUCUGACACUAGUACGAGAGGACCGUGUUGGACUGACCGCUGGUUUACCAGUUGUGCCGCCAGGUGCAUUGCUGGGUAUCUAAGUCGGGAUUGGAUAAGUGCUGAAAGCAUCUAAGUACGAAGCCAGCCACAAGAUUAGAUUUCUUAGGGUCGUCAAAGACGAUGACGUUGAUAGGAUGCAGGUGUAAAGGUGGUAACAUCAAAGCCGAGCAUUACUAAUUGCCCGUUCACUUUCUUU